AUUGAACGCUGGCGGCGUGCCUAACACAUGCAAGUCGAGCGGCAGCGCGGUAGCAAUACUGGCGGCGAGCGGCGGACGGGUGAGUAAUGCUUGGGAAUCUGCCUAUCAGUGGGGGACAACCCGGGGAAACUCGGGCUAAUACCGCAUACGUUCUUCGGAAGAAAGCAGGGGAUCGCAAGACCUUGCGCUGAUAGAUGAGCCCAAGUCGGAUUAGCUAGUUGGUGAGGUAAUGGCUCACCAAGGCGACGAUCCGUAGCUGGUCUGAGAGGACGACCAGCCACACCGGAACUGAGACACGGUCCGGACUCCUACGGGAGGCAGCAGUGGGGAAUAUUGGACAAUGGGGGCAACCCUGAUCCAGCGACGCCGCGUGGGUGAAGAAGGCCUGCGGGUUGUAAAGCCCUUUCGUUGGGGAAGAACAGUGUCGACCUAACACGUCGGCACCUUGACGUUACCCAAAGAAGAAGCACCGGCUAACUCUGUGCCAGCAGCCGCGGUAAAA
Molecule: ribosomal RNA, 502 nt
Filed under: uncultured bacterium
Lineage: Bacteria
Description: bacterial SSU rRNA
Rfam family: Bacterial small subunit ribosomal RNA
Source: RNAcentral